This 1433-nucleotide long non-coding RNA is filed under the name Macaca fascicularis (crab-eating macaque). RNAcentral's name for it is "lncRNA (ENSMFAG00000056180.1)". The record is from RNAcentral. Lineage: Eukaryota; Metazoa; Chordata; Mammalia; Primates; Cercopithecidae.
UGGACUGAGGCAGAGACACGUCGGGUAAUGGGCCCUUGAUGGUGUCGUCUGCCUGCAAGAGUUCAGAUGGGUGGACACUGGGAAACAUCUGCCUCCUAUUAUCUUCAUGGCUUCUCUGAGCAGAAUCCUGGGCUGUCACUCUUCUUUCUGGUCAGAAGCCCUGGGUGGACCUCAAGAAAGAAAUUUGGAGCAUUAUUAGAAAUCUCAUCAGUACAAAAGAUGAGAGUAUUGUCUGUGCUCCUUCAGGAAGGGAAACUGGGUCACUGAGAGUCAGCGAUGGAAAGAGACUUUUCACUCCACUGAAUCAUGUGAAUGUAGUACCUUUUUAGGAAAUAAGUGUAUUAAUCAAAAUAAAUUGAUUUUUAAUUCCUAAGAAGUAUGUGCAGAUGGAGUACUCUAUAGUCAUCUUUAUAAAAUCAUGUUUUUCAAGAGUAUGAAGUACACUUCACAGAAUAUGAGUUUAAAAAACACAGUACAAGACUAAAUGUGUAAAUGACGAGUUGAUGGGUGCUGACGAGUUGAUGGGUGCAGCACACCAACAUGGCACAAGUAUACAUAUGUAACAAACCUGCACGUUAUGCACAUGUACCCUAGAACUUAAAGUAUAAUAAUAAUAAAAAAUAAAUAAAUUUAAAAAAAGACUAAAUGUAUAUUCUAUGAUCCUAAUUUCUGUGAAAAUUUUAUGUACAUGCAUUAGAAACACUGGAAGUGAGUUCACCAACAUCUUAACAUUUUUUAUAAUAUAGUAGUGGAAUGUUGGUUGAAUUUACUUCUUUGUAUCUUUUGGUAUUUUCCAAAUUUUCCACUAUGUGUAUAUCUUUAUCUCACAAUAAAAAUGUUUCUGUGGCCACACAUACACAGAUGCUUCCAUUCCAGAUGGCACACUGAACAUAUGCAUUCAUAUCCUAUUUUCUUCCAAAAUUCCAUGGAAAUAAAAGAGAAAAUAUAAAAAUGCAAAUAAACACAUUAGUGCUAGAAAAAAGAAAGGAGCUACCAGUGAGGGUUGACUUCAUUAAGCAGAUGGAUCCUAUUUCCAGAAACCAGAGCAAAAGAUACCUUAAGCUAUGACACACGGAAGGUACUGCAAAAAUGAGUCAUUCUUCCCAACAGAAAGCCCGAGUAACCUCAAUUCAGCAAACAAACACAGAGUGUAAAUAGGACACGGGACACUCAGAUGGAUAAGAGUGUUAACUUGAAAAGCAAAACUCUGAAGGUAUUGAAAUACAAUAUUGAAAAAUUGUUUUGAAAUUUGGAACUAGGCAAGGAAAUAUCAUAAGUGAAGUAAGAUGAUAAACAACAGACUAGGAGAAAAUAGUUUUGCAUAAAGAGUUGACCAUUGAUAAUUGGCCAUAAUAUAUAGCAUUUCUAUAAUCUGAUUGAGAUAAGACAGUGGGAAAAAUUGAUAAAGAAAUUUAUAGGUAAAUAAAUAUAAA